CAAACGGCCCUUUUCAGGGCCAUAAAUAAUCCAACAUUGGAAUUUU
This is a non-coding RNA of Camponotus floridanus (Florida carpenter ant), 46 nucleotides long. The record is from Rfam. Lineage: Eukaryota; Metazoa; Arthropoda; Insecta; Hymenoptera; Formicidae.